GUGUCAGCCGCCGCGGUAAUACGAAAGGGGCUAGCGUUGUUCGGAAUUACUGGGCGUAAAGCGCGCGUAGGCGGCCUUGCAAGUUGGGGGUGAAAUCCCGGAGCUCAACUCCGGAACUGCCUUCAAAACUGCAAAGCUAGAGGAUGCGAGAGGUGAGCGGAAUUCCGAGUGUAGAGGUGAAAUUCGUAGAUAUUGGGAAGAACACCAGUGGCGAAGGCGCUCUGCUGGGCCGAGACUGACACUGAGGGACGAAAGCUAGGGGAGCGAAAGGGAUUAGAUACCCCUGUAGUCCUAGCUGUAAACGAUGGACACUAGGCGUUGGACGUAUCGACCCGUUCAGUGCCGUAGCUAACGCGUUAAGUGUCCCGCCUGGGGAGUACGCACGCAAGUGUGAAACUCAAAGGAAUUGACGGGG
Molecule: ribosomal RNA, 415 nt
Filed under: uncultured prokaryote
Description: bacterial SSU rRNA
Rfam family: Bacterial small subunit ribosomal RNA
Source: RNAcentral